CAACUACUCCCUCCGUCCGGAAAUACUUGUCGCAGAAAUGGAUAAAAAUGAAUGUAUUUAGAACUAAAAUAUGUCUAGAUACAUCCAUUUCUCCGACAAGUAUUUCCAGGCGGAGGGAGUAUUAU
Molecule: non-coding RNA, 125 nt
Organism: Triticum urartu
Lineage: Eukaryota; Viridiplantae; Streptophyta; Magnoliopsida; Poales; Poaceae
Source: Rfam